GUCUGUGGCAUAAAUGGUAUUCCUGUCUAGCCCAAUCCCUUCUGAUCUCGGAAGCUAAGCAGGGUCGGGCCUGGUUAGUACUUGGAUGGGAGACCACCUAGGAAGACCAGGAGCUGUAGGCG
RNAcentral lists this ribosomal RNA (122 nucleotides) under Pteropus vampyrus (large flying fox). Lineage: Eukaryota; Metazoa; Chordata; Mammalia; Chiroptera; Pteropodidae. The record is from RNAcentral.